GGAACCCUUGUUAUCUUCUCGGUGAAACUCACUCUCUCCAUGCAAAUUAUUGGAUUUUGUGUGAGAUUAUCAUCUUCACUAUUGUGGAUUCAAAUGUAUAAGCUCGGUGUUUCUUAUAUGGACUGUUCAGUUCCCCGAGAGGCAGAUAGUGAUAUGAGAAACAGUUUUCUCAAUCCUGCAACUCCUCUUACUAGACAGCCAUCCAAUUCUGA
RNAcentral lists this unclassified non-coding RNA (212 nucleotides) under Hevea brasiliensis (rubber tree). Lineage: Eukaryota; Viridiplantae; Streptophyta; Magnoliopsida; Malpighiales; Euphorbiaceae. The record is from RNAcentral.